UACGGGGGGAGCAAGCGUUGUUCGGAUUUACUGGGCGUAAAGGGCGCGUAGGCGGCGUGACUAGUCACUUGUGAAAUCUCCGGGCUUAACUCGGAACGGUCAGAUGAUACUGCUUUGCUAGAGUGCAGAAGGGGCAAUCGGAAUUCUCGGUGUAGCGGUGAAAUGCGUAGAUAUCGAGAGGAACACCAGAGGUGAAGACGGGUUGCUGGGCUGACACUGACGCUGAGGCGCGAAAGCCAGGGGAGCAAACGGG
RNAcentral lists this ribosomal RNA (253 nucleotides) under uncultured bacterium. RNAcentral describes it as "partial 16S ribosomal RNA". It matches the Rfam family "Bacterial small subunit ribosomal RNA", at positions 524 to 776 of the family's 1533-position model. The record is from RNAcentral.